UUCUCUCAUACCGUCAACGGUGAUUCGAUGAGAUCCGAUUCGAUGACCGAAACGAGAUGGAGAACUCUUCGUCUGUCUCCACAUGCGUCGUUUAACUUUCUUUUUCACUAAACCAAAACCGUCCGAGUUACAGAUUCAGCGCCAUCAUCGCCUUCUUAACUCACAUUUAGCACGAUCUUGACAUUGAUUGUGCCUUAUGUCGGUCUAUUAUUUAUCUAUAAAAGGUUAGUCUUUUCACUUGAAAGACAUUCUCACAAUCUGUGAAAACACAAAAAUUUUCUUUCUGAUUUGAAAUCUGGUGGCUGCUCCUCCAACGUCAGAUUCUGGGAAGCCAAGAAUGUGAAACAUGGAGUGGAACUGAUGUAUCUUGAUGUGCUCUUACUGGAUUUAAAGGCACUUCUUUUCCGGAGACAUUCAGUCCAACAUUGCUCCCGUAAGUAGUGAACCUUACGCCAUAACAACAGUAGGAGGUACCAAAGCUGCAACAAGCUCUCACGCACGACCACAUGGUGCAGCCUUCAUAGCACUGAGGUUGAUGUCUUAUAUGCCAUGCCAUGAAAUGAAUCUCACAUGUCAUAAGAGCUGCGUUGUUUUUCCUAUAUUUUCUUCCUUCUCUGCAAUUUAAUUCUUGCUUGGUUUCCUCCCUCUUCAAUCCAAGGGACAAGGAACUGGGUUGGUCGGUUACAUUUGAAUGAAACUUUCAGCAAUGAAAAUGGUUUCUCACACUCGGAUUACCAAAAGAAGAAGAAGGCUCUCUCUCAAGUUUACACCGCAGGCAAAUAUUCUCUGAUGUUUUAAUGAUAUUUUCAGAGAUGAUGAUUCUGAUCAAAAAAAAAAAGAGGCAAUCAUUCAAAGGAGGCAAUCAUUUGGAUGGUGAUUCUGAUCAAAACCUGGAUUGGAUCGGCGAUCUUUAAUAGGUGGGAAGGACAUGAGAAGCUAUAGAUGAGAAAGGUCCAGAGAUUCGUAUUUUUUAAUAUGCAAAUGAAAUACAUGCAUUAAUAUGUAUGCGAAGAUUCUAAUUUUCCAAAUUUAUUUUCAGAUUCCUGAGCGUACUAUAUAUUUUUAGAUUCCAAUUAUUACAAGCGAAACUUUUUUUUUCUUUAGUGUUUUUUUUCUUCUAAUGUACCAAUUUGCAUAGUCAACUACUCUCCUUUGCUUAAAUGUUUUUUCUUUUGAACAACGUUGUUUUGGUUUACAUAA
This is a long non-coding RNA of Raphanus sativus (radish), 1200 nucleotides long. RefSeq lists it as uncharacterized. The record is from RefSeq and is a predicted model, not a curated record. The transcript is spliced from 2 exons. Lineage: Eukaryota; Viridiplantae; Streptophyta; Magnoliopsida; Brassicales; Brassicaceae.